RNAcentral lists this ribosomal RNA (189 nucleotides) under Aeromonas sp. MNB-4-15. RNAcentral describes it as "partial 16S ribosomal RNA". It matches the Rfam family "Bacterial small subunit ribosomal RNA", at positions 338 to 519 of the family's 1533-position model. The record is from RNAcentral. Lineage: Bacteria; Pseudomonadati; Pseudomonadota; Gammaproteobacteria; Aeromonadales; Aeromonadaceae.
CCUACGGGAGGCAGCAGUGGGGAAUAUUGCACAAUGGGGGAAACCCUGAUGCAGCCAUGCCGCGUGUGUGAAGAAGGCCUUCGGGUUGUAAAGCACUUUCAGGGAGGAGGAAAGGUCUCUAGCUAAUACCUGCUGGCUGUGACGUUACCCCCAAAAUAAGCACCGGCUAACUCCGUGCCAGCAGCCGCG